CGGCGGGCAGCUAACACAUGCAGUCGAGGGGUAACGGGAAGUGCUUGCACUUUGCCGACGACCGGCGCACGGGUGCGGAACGCGUAUGGAACCUGCCCCUGUCAGGGGAAUAGCCCAGAGAAAUUUGGAUUAAUGCCCCAUGGUAUCCCAUCACCACAUGGUGUAGGGAUUAAAGAUUUAUCGGACAGGGAUGGCCAUGCGUACCAUUAGCUUGUUGGUGAGGUAACGGCUUACCAAGGCAACGAUGGUUAGGGGCCCUGAGAGGGGGAUCCCCCACACUGGUACUGAGACACGGACCAGACUCCUACGGGAGGCAGCAGUGAGGAAUAUUGGACAAUGGGCGGGAGCCUGAUCCAGCCAUGCCGCGUGCAGGAUGACUGCCCUAUGGGUUGUAAACUGCUUUUAUACGGGAAGAAACCUGUCCACGUGUGGACAGCUGACGGUACCGUAAGAAUAAGGACCGGCUAACUCCGUGCCAGCAGCCGCGGUAAUACGGAGGGUCCGAGCGUUAUCCGGAAUCAUUGGGUUUAAAGGGUCCGUAGGUGGGCCAUUAAGUCAGGGGUGAAAGUCUGCAGCUCAACUGUAGAAUUGCCUUUGAUACUGGUGGUCUUUGAGUCGUUGUGGGGUUGCCGGAACCAUGUGGUUGUAGCGGUGAAAUUGCAUAAAUUCCACAUAAACCACCUGAUUCC
RNAcentral lists this ribosomal RNA (689 nucleotides) under marine bacterium CS-50. RNAcentral's name for it is "bacterial SSU rRNA". It matches the Rfam family "Bacterial small subunit ribosomal RNA", at positions 40 to 717 of the family's 1533-position model. The record is from RNAcentral.